Long non-coding RNA from Gallus gallus (chicken), 1325 nucleotides. Lineage: Eukaryota; Metazoa; Chordata; Aves; Galliformes; Phasianidae. The record is from Ensembl.
UUCCAACCCAAAUAAUUCUAUGACUCUGUGAAAUUUUGAGUAAGACAUAAGAUGCAGCUGUCCUUUUGCUAAUUCAUACUACUUGCUUUUUGGACAUUGCUGCUGAUCUCCUUACUGGUAUCAAACAAAGGAAACAAAUUAAUUGCCCCUUAAAAUGCUACUUACCUGGGAGUGUCUGACUUCCUAUUGGGUAAGACUUUUUUUUCUCACUCUUUAUUUAACACAUAACCAUUUGUAAUGCUGGACAGUCUUUCUGUAUCUUGUUUUCAGGUUCACCAUCUUGUGACUUCAGACAGAUUCAUUUUAAACUCUAUGUCAUCAGGUGGAACAAAGUGAUUCUCAUGUUUCAGUUGUCUAUGGUUUCUCUUCUCAUAAAAUCCCUGCGUUUAGUAUUUCAGUCAGCCACCAAGAAAGUGACAAAUAAUGGCUGACUAAUAUGAUUCAUCUUAGAGCCUACCUCACAUACCAAGUAGAAAUGAAUUUUAAUUUUGCAGGAGACAGACUUUCGUGUUAAGAGAAAAAUUGCCCAUGUUCAAGCAUUUUUCUGGAUAGUAAAAAAACAUAUAAAUUGAGAAAAAUAUAUAAAACAUUCAAAUAGUCGUGGCAGGGACCUGUUCUGUACCCAGUCUCUGUCCAUCACACUGUUGCUGUAUAUCAAAUGGUGCAGCAAUCCCUGCUUGUGGUACUGAAGCCGUCACUGCUUGCACGUCUGCUUGUGCACGGUGUUGAAAAUGGAUCUGUACAAACUUGGGCCCUGUACAGUGCAAGAUACCGUGUAUUUUUCAAUCUCUGUACACUUCGUGCAUCCUCUACUGUUCAUCAGACAUUAGCUGUAAACAAAAUACUCACUCUGAUGAACAUUUUGUUAAAAACAUGUAAGUACAGUAAUGACUUAGUGGGGCUGUUGUAGCAUUAGGCUCUCCAGAAGUCUAUGAUGCUGUCAGGACUGCAGAAGUUUUUCUCUGGAAAACUCAUCUGUUAGACCACUGCAGCUGCACUGCCUCAUGACACAAAGCAAGGUGGAUGUUCUAAGAAUUAGCAGAGUCUCCCACUUCUGUGUAAAUCAGUGGAUUUGUUGUGGUGCAAUUUGACAGAGCUAUGCUGGAGUCAGUGGAGACACACCAAAUUACAGCAGCCAAUGGUCUGAAAUUAUAGUAGUUGCACAGGUAAUUUCUCAGACUCUUGGUGCUUUGAUUAUACAAAGUCAGUGAGGUUAAAAUUUCAGCUUUUGAUACCACUUAAGUAGUAAGUUCUAGUGAUACUUUUGGAAUUACUUACGAUGGCAGACUUUGUUCACACAUAUCUUCCAAUAAAUGAAAGCUAUG